GUCAGCGACUUAUAUUCUGUAGCAAGGUUAACCGAAUAGGGGAGCCGAAGGGAAACCGAGUCUUAACUGGGCGUUAAGUUGCAGGGUAUAGACCCGAAACCCGGUGAUCUAGCCAUGGGCAGGUUGAAGGUUGGGUAACACUAACUGGAGGACCGAACCGACUAAUGUUGAAAAAUUAGCGGAUGACUUGUGGCUGGGGGUGAAAGGCCAAUCAAACCGGGAGAUAGCUGGUUCUCCCCGAAAGCUAUUUAGGUAGCGCCUCGUGAAUUCAUCUCCGGGGGUAGAGCACUGUUUCGGCAAGGGGGUCAUCCCGACUUACCAACCCGAUGCAAACUGCGAAUACCGGAGAAUGUUAUCACGGGAGACACACGGCGGGUGCUAACGUCCGUCGUGAAGAGGGAAACAACCCAGACCGCCAGCUAAGGUCCCAAAGUCAUGGUUAAGUGGGAAACGAUGUGGGAAGGCCCAGACAGCCAGGAUGUUGGCUUAGAAGCAGCCAUCAUUUAAAGAAAGCGUAAUAGCUCACUGGUCGAGUCGGCCUGCGCGGAAGAUGUAACGGGGCUAAACCAUGCACCGAAGCUGCGGCAGCGACACUGUGUGUUGUUGGGUAGGGGAGCGU
This 619-nucleotide ribosomal RNA is filed under the name Escherichia coli. Its description in RNAcentral is "partial 23S ribosomal RNA". It matches the Rfam family "Bacterial large subunit ribosomal RNA", at positions 619 to 1239 of the family's 2925-position model. Lineage: Bacteria; Pseudomonadati; Pseudomonadota; Gammaproteobacteria; Enterobacterales; Enterobacteriaceae. The record is from RNAcentral.